CACCCUUCUGGGCCCCAGGCUGCCGCCACUGCUGGCGCUCCAGCCUUGGUUGCGUUGCGCCCUUGAGUCCCAGGAGGCGGAGCCAGCCCAGGGCUGCCAGAGGCUUUCCGGAAAGUAUAAUUUAAGCCCAACGUCAGUCUGGGAAUACUAUUCUCCACUCUUCUCCGGAAGGCGGUGGCAGCCGCCAGGCCAGGAAUCCCUUGAUCCUGAAAGUUUUGUGAGAAGGCCUGGUGAGGAGCAAUUGCAACCGCACACAGGAUGGCAGAGCAGAAAAUAGGUAUUUCUGAAAAGUUUUAAAAUUAGGAUUUAGACUAUACACCUUGGGUCCAUCAUUUCUACUCUGCUCUUCAGAGACACGAAUUAAUUAAACAUUUGAAAAUAUAAAUAAUAAUGGUCACCCACACUGACCUUCAGAAGACAUAAACAAACGAAUUGGGUGAAAAGUAGAACUGUCAUUUUGGAGGCAAGCUUUCUGGAGUAUUGAAUUCACUCCCUGUUUAAAGUCUUUUGCUUUGUAAUACCAGCAAUGAAUGGACUGGUCUUUACUGAGAUUGAAGAAGUGCUCU
RNAcentral lists this long non-coding RNA (566 nucleotides) under Sus scrofa (pig). RNAcentral's name for it is "lncRNA (ENSSSCG00045002137.1)". Lineage: Eukaryota; Metazoa; Chordata; Mammalia; Artiodactyla; Suidae. The record is from RNAcentral.